Molecule: ribosomal RNA, 918 nt
Filed under: Agromyces sp.
Lineage: Bacteria; Bacillati; Actinomycetota; Actinomycetes; Micrococcales; Microbacteriaceae
Description: bacterial SSU rRNA
Rfam family: Bacterial small subunit ribosomal RNA
Source: RNAcentral
UGGGCGUAAGAGCUCGUAGGCGGUUUGUCGCGUCUGCUGUGAAAUCUGGAGGCUCAACCUCCAGCCUGCAGUGGGUACGGGCAGACUAGAGUGCGGUAGGGGAGAAUGGAAUUCCUGGUGUAGCGGUGGAAUGCGCAGAUAUCAGGAGGAACACCGAUGGCGAAGGCAGUUCUCUGGGCCGUAACUGACGCUGAGGAGCGAAAGCGUGGGGAGCGAACAGGAUUAGAUACCCUGGUAGUCCACGCCGUAAACGUUGGGCGCUAGAUGUGGGGACCUUUCCACGGUUUCCGUGUCGUAGCUAACGCAUUAAGCGCCCCGCCUGGGGAGUACGGCCGCAAGGCUAAAACUCAAAGGAAUUGACGGGGGCCCGCACAAGCGGCGGAGCAUGCGGAUUAAUUCGAUGCAACGCGAAGAACCUUACCAAGGCUUGACAUAACCGAGAACGCCGCAGAAAUGUGGAACUCUUUGGACACUCGGUUACAGGUGGUGCAUGGUUGUCGUCAGCUCGUGUCGUGAGAUGUUGGGUUAAGUCCCGCAACGAGCGCAACCCUCGUCGCAUGUUGCCAGCACGUAAUGGUGGGAACUCAUGUGAGACUGCCGGGGUCAACUCGGAGGAAGGUGGGGAUGACGUCAAAUCAUCAUGCCCCUUAUGUCUUGGGCUUCACGCAUGCUACAAUGGCCGGUACAAAGGGCUGCGAUGUCGUAAGGCGGAGCGAAUCCCAAAAAGCCGGUCUCAGUUCGGAUUGAGGUCUGCAACUCGACCUCAUGAAGUCGGAGUCGCUAGUAAUCGCAGAUCAGCAACGCUGCGGUGAAUACGUUCCCGGGCCUUGUACACACCGCCCGUCAAGUCAUGAAAGUCGGUAACACCCGAAGCCGGUGGCUAACCCUUGUGAGGGAGCCGUCGAAGUGGGAUCGGUG